UCCGUAGGUGAACCUGCGGAAGGAUCAUUAUAGUAUUCUAUUGCCAGCGCUUAAUUGCGCGGCGAUAAACCUUACACACAUUGUCUAGUUUUUUUGAACUUUGCUUUGGGUGCAUCAGCCUAGCUGCGUGCCCAAAGGUCUAAACACAUUUUUUAAUGUUAAAACCUUUAACCAAUAGUCAUGAAAAUUUUUAACAAAAAUUAAAAUCUUCAAAACUUUCAACAACGGAUCUCUUGGUUCUCGCAACGAUGAAGAACGCAGCGAAAUGCGAUACGUAUUGUGAAUUGCAGAUUUUCGUGAAUCAUCGAAUCUUUGAACGCACAUUGCACCCUCUGGUAUUCCAGAGGGUAUGCCUGUUUGAGCGUCAUUUCUCUCUCAAACCUUCGGGUUUGGUAUUGAGUGAUACUCUGUCAAGGGUUAACUUGAAAUAUUGACUUAGCAAGAGUGUACUAAUAAGCAGUCUUUCUGAAAUAAUGUAUUAGGUUCUUCCAACUCGUUAUAUCAGCUAGGCAGGUUUAGAAGUAUUUUAGGCUCGGCUUAACAACAAUAAACUAAAAGUUUGACCUCAAAUCAGGUAGGACUACCCGCUGAACUUAAGCAUAUCAAUAAGCGGAGGA
RNAcentral lists this ribosomal RNA (617 nucleotides) under Hansenula anomala. Its description in RNAcentral is "eukaryotic LSU rRNA". The stretch from base 214 to 367 matches the Rfam family "5.8S ribosomal RNA". Lineage: Eukaryota; Fungi; Ascomycota; Saccharomycetes; Phaffomycetales; Wickerhamomycetaceae. The record is from RNAcentral.